UUUUAGUCAUGCCUCCUACGAGAAUGAAAUGUGAAAUUAGGGAAGAAGACAAAAAUAUGGGUGCAAACUAAAGAACCCAGUUUGUACAUCAGCUGGACUUGGUGAUUCCAAAGCUCUUAGGCUCUCAUCAACUUCUGUGGAUACUGAAUCCGGUAAUAUUAAAUGUGACAUUACUUCAUCAACCCCUAAAGUGUCUUGACUCUUUAACUUGUAGUUAUUCAGCUUCUUUUGUCAAGCCUCUUUUCUAAAUAAGACCCUCAGAGAAGCUCCCGGGAAGAAUUAUUUCCUGGGGUGAAGUAUCUUGGCCAGAGCAACAUCUUUCCAGGUUGUAUUUGCUGGUAUAAAGUCUUCCUUUUUGGGGUCCUCAUCAUCCUAGCUGCAUGCGCUGUUGACCUCAACCUUCUGCUUCUUCAAUGCCCACCAGGCUGAGCUUCAACACUCUACCUGCAUACUACAGGAAGCCUGAAGUCUUUAGCACGUUCCACAGGAUGUGUACUUCCUUCCUUAACUACUCUAAAAACUGCGGCGGAUGAGUACAC
This is a non-coding RNA of Kogia breviceps (pygmy sperm whale), 539 nucleotides long. Lineage: Eukaryota; Metazoa; Chordata; Mammalia; Artiodactyla; Physeteridae. The record is from RefSeq and is a predicted model, not a curated record.